GUGACAAUGACAACCACCAGUUAGACUGAGACAGCAAGACAUCUUGGACAGGCACAGUCUCCAUGUUAAAAGAUCCAAUCCUCCACUUGGUGAGAUUUGAGUGAAGAAUCAGGCCCAUCAUUUGUCAAAGGCUUUGGGAUCCUUUUGGAAUUAAAGGCAUGAUAGAAAGGGCUAGAGAACAAACAGGCCCCAUCAACUAUUCAAAGGAAACAACGUUGCAAUAAAGUGCAAAGAAACAGCUGCAUGAAGCUUUUUCAAGGAUCACUAAUGAAGUCAACAUGUGCUACAGAUCAAACAGGGAAACUAAUACCAGAUGAGAACUGAAGUAAUCAGAAUAGACACAGACCUAACAGCAACCAUUUUGUACCAUAAGAAGCAAAAAAACCCCAAGCAUUAAGUACCUGAGAGUUCAUGUUCUGAUGACUGUUGCCCUUCUCCCUCCCUCUCUGCACCAGUCUUACCUGAAGAGAGCAGGGUGCAGGUAGCUA
Gopherus flavomarginatus (Mexican gopher tortoise) is the source of this 488-nucleotide long non-coding RNA. RefSeq lists it as uncharacterized. The transcript is spliced from 3 exons. The record is from RefSeq and is a predicted model, not a curated record. Lineage: Eukaryota; Metazoa; Chordata; Testudines; Testudinidae.